Molecule: ribosomal RNA, 484 nt
Filed under: uncultured bacterium
Lineage: Bacteria
Description: partial 16S ribosomal RNA
Rfam family: Bacterial small subunit ribosomal RNA
Source: RNAcentral
AUUGAACGCUGGCGGCAGGCCUAACACAUGCAAGUCGAGCGGAGGAAGGGAGCCUGCCCCUGGAUUCAGCGGUGGACGGGUGGGUCAUGCCUAGGAAUUCGCAUGGUAGUGGGGGAUAACGUCCGGAAACGGGCGGUACUACUGCAUAGGUAGUGAGGUAGGAAGAGGGGGGUCUUCGGAUCUCACGCUUUCAGAUGAGGGUAGGUUGGAUUGGCUAGGUGGAGGGGUAACGGCCUACCAAGGCGAAUAUCCUUAACUGGUCUGAGAGGAUGGCCAGUCACACUGUAUCUGAGACACGGUCGAGACUCCUACAGGAGGCAGCGGUGCGGAAUAUUGGACGAGGGGCGAGUGCCGGAUCCAGCCAUGCGGCGUAUGUGAAGAAGGUCUUCGGAUGGGAAAGCACUUUAAGUUGUGGGGUAGGGAAGUAAUUUAAUACCUUACUGUUUUGACGUUACCAGCAGAAGAAGCACCGGCUAACUUCGUG